This is a long non-coding RNA of Folsomia candida, 958 nucleotides long. RefSeq lists it as uncharacterized. The transcript has 4 exons. The record is from RefSeq and is a predicted model, not a curated record. Lineage: Eukaryota; Metazoa; Arthropoda; Collembola; Entomobryomorpha; Isotomidae.
ACAUUUGAGACUAUACAUAUUUAUGUAAAUAUUGUAAUAUGCUUUCUCAUUCAACCGAAUAAUAUGGAAUGUCAUUCAUUCACGAUAUCUGAUUACUAAUCUGCAUGUGGAUCCGGUCUGGAAUCAAGUAUAUUACUAAAUAGAAUAUUAUUCAAAUUAAUUUCAGCUAUUAUUUGGUAGGAGACACAUGCAAAAUAUGUAGGAAUGUAACUGUAUUGAAUUGAAUUGAAUAUGAGCCGUAGGAAGUGCAUGAUGCUAAAAAUGGGAGUAAACUGUUCAAAACUCAACUCAUCCAUUAAAUCAGAUGCAUGCAUAUACCUACGCAGAUUUAUCAAAGCACGAAAUAUGUAUACUAAUAUUUAGUAGUAUUUGUUUCGAGAAACUGCAAUUACCUAGCCAAGAAAAGUGUCAGCAAAGUAAUUCCUGUUGAACAAACAAAUUUAAGUCGAACAAGAAUAUCAAGGCAAUCUAGUUAGCAGCAAAGCAUGGACAAGGAAUUAUGCACAAGUUCUUUAAUCGUGUGUAAAAUAUAUCAGCAGAUGUAAAUCAUUAGUUGAGAAGCUACCAAUAUAUACAUUAAACUGCAAAUUUCUUAAAUAAAAUGGAAUAUUCAGACGCCGAGCAUGAGGACGUGUUUCAUGAAUCUUCAAGUUCUGCCUUGGAGGAAGAAAAAAGUGAAAGGAGUGAAAUCUCGUCCAGGAGAAAGUAUUUGGCUAAACAAGUUCGUCAGUUGUCGUCUCGAAUUGAUUCGUUGAGUGAAAAAAUGGACGCUAUGCUAAAAAAAUACAAAUCAGUGCAAACAUCAAGCUGAAAUGUAUUGUAAGAAAAAUGACGAGGAAUCGAGGAGUUAAUACUGACAUUGUUCUAUUCUAAUUAAUGGAUGCAUGUUUACAUUUCUGUAUGUGUAAUUGCAAAUCUAAUAGUCAAUAAUAAUGUUAUUUCCUUGUUUUAAAAUUGA